RNAcentral lists this long non-coding RNA (184 nucleotides) under Callithrix jacchus (white-tufted-ear marmoset). RNAcentral describes it as "lncRNA (ENSCJAG00000086276.1)". Lineage: Eukaryota; Metazoa; Chordata; Mammalia; Primates; Cebidae. The record is from RNAcentral.
AGUAAAAGGACCAGUUCUCCACAUGACACAUGCCUAUAGUACACCGUGACUGGCAGAUGUUUUCCUCUCCUGAAAUAAGCCUCGACUCUAUUCGAUCUGCAGAACCUUGGCAUGAAGAACAUUUUAUGUUUCUUCUGUGAAGUAAAAAGGCAAGUCUUGUAGACUGAUGGCGAUUAACCAUAAU